GACGAACCACCCAAACGUUAUUCGGAAUCACUGGGCUUAAAGAGUGCGUAGGCGGUCAUGUAAGUAGGGUGUGAAAUCCCACAGCUCAACUGUGGAACUGCGCUCUAAACUACAUGACUAGAGGGAUAUAGAGGUGAGCAGAACUGAUGGUGGAGCGGUGAAAUGCGUUGAUAUCGGGAGGAACACCAGUGGCGAAAGCGCACUUCUGGGCCAAUACUGACGCUAAGGGACGAAAGCCAGGGUAGCGAAAGGG
This 253-nucleotide ribosomal RNA is filed under the name uncultured bacterium. Its description in RNAcentral is "partial 16S ribosomal RNA". It matches the Rfam family "Bacterial small subunit ribosomal RNA", at positions 524 to 776 of the family's 1533-position model. The record is from RNAcentral.